This 275-nucleotide long non-coding RNA is filed under the name Gossypium raimondii (Peruvian cotton). Its description in RNAcentral is "long non-coding RNA (GRAI_LNC004764)". The record is from RNAcentral. Lineage: Eukaryota; Viridiplantae; Streptophyta; Magnoliopsida; Malvales; Malvaceae.
UACUGUGAAGGUGGAUAGUACAUUGGUGGCUGUGAAUUGAUCGUAUUUUGUGGCAUUGAAGGCAAAGGAGGAGGUGGGGGAGGUGGAUAAGAAGAAUCUGGAGGCGGUGGUGGAGGAGGAUAAGAAUAUUGCUGUUGUGGAGGCGGAGGUGGUGGUGGUUGUUGGGGUGGUCUAGGAGGGUAACCGUAAUUCGAAUUUGGAUUCAUGUGAUUGUAAUUUUGACCAUACUGCUGUUGCUGUUGUUGUUGGGGUUGAAGAGGGUUUUGAUUCUGCGG